CCGCCGGCGACCGGCGCACGGGUGAGUAACACGUAUGCAACCUGGCCGUGACAGAUGGAUAACCGGGUGAAAUCCCGCCUAAUACAACAUAAUGCCGGGAGGGGACAUCCCCUGCCGGCCAAAGGGGGCGACCCCGGUCACGGAUGGGCAUGCGGCGCAUUAGGUAGUUGGUGGGGCAACGGCCCACCAAGCCGACGAUGCGUAGGGGUUCUGAGAGGAAGGUCCCCCACAUUGGAACUGAGACACGGUCCAAACUCCUACGGAAGGCAGCAG
This 273-nucleotide ribosomal RNA is filed under the name uncultured bacterium. RNAcentral's name for it is "partial 16S ribosomal RNA". It matches the Rfam family "Bacterial small subunit ribosomal RNA", at positions 85 to 354 of the family's 1533-position model. The record is from RNAcentral.